UGGGGAAUAUUGCACAAUGGGCGCAAGCCUGAUGCAGCAACGCCGCGUGAACGAUGAAGGUCUUCGGAUCGUAAAGUUCUGUUGCAGGGGAAGAUAAUGACGGUACCCUGUGAGGAAGCCCCGGCUAACUACGUGCCAGCAGCCGCGGUAAUACGUAGGGGGCUAGCGUUAUCCGGAUUUACUGGGCGUAAAGGGUGCGUAGGCGGUUUGUUAGGUCAGGAGUUAAAUCUGGGGGCUCAACCCCUAUCCGCUCCUGAUACCGGCAGGCUUGAGGCUGGUAGGGGAAGGCGGAAUUCCAAGUGUAGCGGUGAAAUGCGCAGAUAUUUGGAAGAACACCGGUGGCGAAGGCGGCCUUCUGGGCCACGACUGACGCUGAGGCGCGAAAGCUAGGGGAGCGAACAGG
RNAcentral lists this ribosomal RNA (403 nucleotides) under Verrucomicrobiota bacterium. RNAcentral describes it as "Verrucomicrobia bacterium partial 16S ribosomal RNA". It matches the Rfam family "Bacterial small subunit ribosomal RNA", at positions 355 to 776 of the family's 1533-position model. Lineage: Bacteria; Pseudomonadati; Verrucomicrobiota. The record is from RNAcentral.